Molecule: transfer RNA, 73 nt
Filed under: Anaerolineaceae bacterium
Lineage: Bacteria; Bacillati; Chloroflexota; Anaerolineae; Anaerolineales; Anaerolineaceae
Also listed under: 1 other name
Description: tRNA-Arg
Rfam family: tRNA
About the family: Transfer RNA (tRNA) molecules are approximately 80 nucleotides in length. Their secondary structure includes four short double-helical elements and three loops (D, anti-codon, and T loops).
Source: RNAcentral
GUACCUGUAGCUCAGUGGAUAGAGCACUUGUCUACGGAACAAGGGGUCGGGAGUUCGAAUCUCUCCAGGUACG